Molecule: RNA transcript, 2144 nt
Organism: Scylla paramamosain (green mud crab)
Lineage: Eukaryota; Metazoa; Arthropoda; Malacostraca; Decapoda; Portunidae
Exons: 2
Source: RefSeq, a predicted model, not a curated record
CACCACGCUGAGAGAGGGAGAAAGAGAAGAGCAUCAGAGAGGGAUGACCGUGGCAGGAAGGAUGGUGUGUUAGGUGACUGGUUCAGACAGUGACAGUGGACAGAAGAAAUGCUGGAGAAAGAUUAGACCACAGGUGGUUCAUGUUGUACUAGUUCAAGGUUUGGCAGAAAACAUUUUUUUCUAGAUAGACAGUGGCAGCAAACACACAAGGGAGGAUGGUGUGGUGGACAAGAGGAUGCAGGGAGACGGCAGACAGAAUGGAAGCUACAGAUGAAAGAAGAGCAGGUCAAGCCAUGGCAGCAGACAGACAGACAGAGACAGAUUGGAUCAGAAAGUAUUAUUAUUUAGUGAGCACCAGAAGCAGUCUUCCUCACACGAACCGUUUCAUUGCCGGGACUUGAAGGCUGCUGAAGCAAUGCGGCGGAGGUCACGCCCCUUAAAGUAUUUAUACUUACUGUCAACACCAUAACUAAAGCAAACACUUUAGUGCAGGUAGUUAAAUAAGUGCAAUCAUUGUUCCAGAUUCCUAAAUUCACAAAGUACAUAAACUCAUUGAAAGUUUUUAGUGCAGGUAAUUAAAGUUUUAGUGAAAUAAUUGUUCCUAUUCCUAAUGUUGUGUGGUGCAUUACCUCAGACAGGCCCACUGGAAGCUGUCAGUCUGCUGCGGCACGUGGCAAGAACCAAGUGUUGAGGAGCACACGUUGUCCCUUCACCAGUCAGCAGGUUACAAAAAACAAUGCAGUAUUUUGUUGAGUAAUCAAAGUAAUGAAAUGUAAAUGAUAAAAUGUCAGUACUGAUUCAGUGUCACACUCCACCAUGGCAAAGACUGCCGGCUGAGUAAUAUUCAAGUUGUAUUAGUGAGACUCUACUCAAUGUUAAUUAAGGCAGGUGGAAGAAAAUAGUAAAAAAUGUAUCAUAGUACAAGAAAAUGACACUUCAAAGUGUAAACACAUCUUUAACAAGUAGACUUGAAUGGUCAUUAAGUAGUACAGCAGACCCUUCCUACAGUAAAUUCACUAUUAUUUGUUGACUGGCCUUAUUGUCUCAUUAUUUUACUUUGCUUAUUAUUCUGUUUUGUUUUCUCAUUAAUACUUGAGUGCCUUCAUUUUAUCUCUAUUAUUGUGACUUUGUCUCUCAUUAUGUUGCUUAUGUUGUCUACUCUCAUUAUCUGACAGACUGCUCGCCUUCACAGGUCUGGGCGGCUCGGAAGUCUCACUACAAACUGGAGAUCCAUUCUCUUGGACACAGCUGGAGUCGGACACAAGAUUCAAGAGGGAGUCAUUUUAACGAGAGCUUCAGGCAGAAAAUUCGAGUGGAUUUUCAUUUCUAAAAAUAUCUUAUUUUUUGGGGGGGAUAUUUUGAAUCCUUCUUUGUGGAAAAAUAACUCCAGAUAUUAUGAUUCUAGCUGGAAGUUGACCUGAGCAAUGUAGGGUUUGCUGCUGUGAGAUUAUCACCAAGGCACAAGUGUCCGGGAUUUAAAGAUGAUGGAAAUGUGUCCUGUGUGCUGCUGUGCUGGGAAGAGGAGAGGAGCAGCAGCAGUGGUGGGGCUCUGCUGCUGCUGUCACUAGUGCAGCUGCCUUCCCUCAACAUACUGUGUCUUCUCUCACCUGCAAUGAACAACUAUGAACAAUACUUUUGCGAUGAAGAACAGUGAAUAACACCUCUCCCCAUAUGAUUGCAAGUCUCUCUCUCUCUCUCUCUCUCUCUCUCUCUCUCUCUCUCUCUCUCUCUCUCUCUCUCUCUCUCUCUCUCUCUCCACAGUCCUACAGUAUGUCCCCCACAGUAUGUUUACAAACCCACAGUGACUCCCCACAGCCCCUCACCAACACCCUCACCAACAAUUGUCUCCACACACACACACACACACACACACACACACACACACACACACACCAUUACAUACACAAAUGUUGCAAUCUUGUACACACACACACACACACACACACACACACACACACACACACACACACACACACACACCAUUACAUACACAAAUGUUGCAAUCUUGUACACACACACACACACACACACACACACACACACACACACACACACACACACACACACACACACACACCAUUACAUACACAAAUGUUGCAAUCUUGUACAGUGUCUACAAUAAAGAAUGAAACCAAAAUCGACAA